Long non-coding RNA from Cherax quadricarinatus, 274 nucleotides. RefSeq lists it as uncharacterized. The record is from RefSeq and is a predicted model, not a curated record. Lineage: Eukaryota; Metazoa; Arthropoda; Malacostraca; Decapoda; Parastacidae.
UGUUGGUAGUGGUGGUAACAGCAGGUGAACACUGCUGAUGAUUAUUAUCUUGUGUCUCCUCUUUAACAUCCUGAUAAGAUAACAGGACUUAGUUCAUCACAGGAGUGAAGUACGGACAUUAAAGCAGCCACGUUGGAAGUGUCUCGAAUACAACAUUAUCGUCAUCCUAGGGUAAAAUGGGCUCGAUUCCUCCUGAACCAACAAAAGCAGAAAUUGACCUGCUUCGUAGUUCUGUAGUGCAGAAGAUUGAUUCUGAUGGUGUGAUUUAUGACCC